RNAcentral lists this ribosomal RNA (489 nucleotides) under uncultured bacterium. RNAcentral's name for it is "partial 16S ribosomal RNA". It matches the Rfam family "Bacterial small subunit ribosomal RNA", at positions 28 to 507 of the family's 1533-position model. The record is from RNAcentral.
GAUGAACGCUAGCGGCAGGCUUAAUACAUGCAAGUCGUGGGGCAGCAGGACUGUAGCAAUCCAGUUGCUGGCGACCGGCAAACGGGUGCGGAACACGUACGCAACUUACCCUGAACUGGGGGAUGGCCCGGGGAAACCCGGAUAAAUACCCCGUAAUAUAAGGGAUGGCCAUCCCUUCAUUAUUAAAGCUCGGUGGUUUCGGGAUGGCCUUGCGGCGGUUUAGUCUGUUGGUUGAGGUAACGGCUCACCAAGCCGACGACCAGUAACGGUUGUGAGAGCACGACCAGUCACACGGGCACUGGGACACGGGCCCGACUCCUACGGGAGGCAGCAGUAAGGAAUAGUGGGCAAUGGAGGCAACUCUGACCCAGCCAUGCCGCGUGGAGGAUGAAGGCCCUCUGGGUGGUAAACUUCUUUUAGAGGGGAAGAAACCUGUGUAUUCUUACGCAGUUGACGGUACCCUAGGAAUAAGCACCGGCUAACUCCGUG